This 858-nucleotide ribosomal RNA is filed under the name Conyzicola lurida. RNAcentral's name for it is "bacterial SSU rRNA". It matches the Rfam family "Bacterial small subunit ribosomal RNA", at positions 134 to 1002 of the family's 1533-position model. Lineage: Bacteria; Bacillati; Actinomycetota; Actinomycetes; Micrococcales; Microbacteriaceae. The record is from RNAcentral.
GACUCUGGGAUAAGCACUGGAAACGGUGUCUAAUACCGGAUAUGAACCUCAGCCGCAUGGCUAGGGGUUGGAAAGAAUUUCGGUCAAGGAUGGACUCGCGGCCUAUCAGCUAGUUGGUGAGGUAAUGGCCCACCAAGGCGACGACGGGUAGCCGGCCUGAGAGGGUGACCGGCCACACUGGGACUGAGACACGGCCCAGACUCCUACGGGAGGCAGCAGUGGGGAAUAUUGCACAAUGGGCGCAAGCCUGAUGCAGCAACGCCGCGUGAGGGACGACGGCCUUCGGGUUGUAAACCUCUUUUAGUAGGGAAGAAGCGAAAGUGACGGUACCUGCAGAAAAAGCACCGGCUAACUACGUGCCAGCAGCCGCGGUAAUACGUAGGGUGCAAGCGUUGUCCGGAAUUAUUGGGCGUAAAGAGCUCGUAGGCGGUUUGUCGCGUCUGCUGUGAAAACCCGAGGCUCAACCUCGGGCCUGCAGUGGGUACGGGCAGACUAGAGUGCGGUAGGGGAGAUUGGAAUUCCUGGUGUAGCGGUGGAAUGCGCAGAUAUCAGGAGGAACACCGAUGGCGAAGGCAGAUCUCUGGGCCGUAACUGACGCUGAGGAGCGAAAGCAUGGGGAGCGAACAGGAUUAGAUACCCUGGUAGUCCAUGCCGUAAACGUUGGGAACUAGAUGUAGGGGCCAUUCCACGGUUUCUGUGUCGCAGCUAACGCAUUAAGUUCCCCGCCUGGGGGAGUACGGCCGCAAGGCUAAAACUCAAAGGAAUUGACGGGGGCCCGCACAAGCGGCGGAGCAUGCGGAUUAAUUCGAUGCAACGCGAAGAACCUUACCAAGGCUUGACAUAUACGAGAACGGGCCA